Molecule: ribosomal RNA, 468 nt
Filed under: uncultured bacterium
Lineage: Bacteria
Description: partial 16S ribosomal RNA
Rfam family: Bacterial small subunit ribosomal RNA
Source: RNAcentral
GAUGAACGCUGGCGGCGUGCUUAACACAUGCAAGUCGAACGGUGAAGGCGGAGCUUGCUCUGCUGGAUCAGUGGCGAACGGGUGAGUAACACGUGAGCAAUCUGCCCCUGACUCUGGGAUAAGCGCUGGAAACGGCGUCUAAUACUGGAUACGAGCUGCGAAGGCAUCUUCAGCAGCUGGAAAGAAUUUCGGUCAGGGAUGAGCUCGCGGCCUAUCAGCUUGUUGGUGAGGUAAUGGCUCACCAAGGCGUCGACGGGUAGCCGGCCUGAGAGGGUGACCGGCCACACUGGGACUGAGACACGGCCCAGACUCCUACGGGAGGCAGCAGUGGGGAAUAGUGCACAAUGGGCGAAAGCCUGAUGCAGCAACGCCGCGUGAGGGACGACGGCCCUCGGGUUGUAAACCUCUUUUAGCAGGGAAGAAGCGAAAGUGACGGUACCUGCAGAAAAAGCGCCGGCUAACUACGUG